UCGAGCGGACAGAUGGGAGCUUGCUCCCUGAUGUUAGCGGCGGACGGGUGAGUAACACGUGGGUAACCUGCCUGUAAGACUGGGAUAACUCCGGGAAACCGGGGCUAAUACCGGAUGCUUGUUUGAACCGCAUGGUUCAAAUAUAAAAGGUGGCUUUUAGCUACCACUUACAGAUGGACCCGCGGCGCAUUAGCUAGUUGGUGAGGUAACGGCUCACCAAGGCAACGAUGCGUAGCCGACCUGAGAGGGUGAUCGGCCACACUGGGACUGAGACACGGCCCAAACUCCUACGGGAGGCAGCAGUAGGGAAUCUUCCGCAAUGGACGAAAGUCUGACGGAGCAACGCCGCGUGAGUGAUGAAGGUUUUCGGAUCGUAAAACUCUGUUGUUAGGGAAGAACAAGUACCGUUCGAAUAGGGCGGUACCUUGACGGUACCUGACCAGAAAGCCACGGCUAACUACGUGCCAGCAGCCGCGGUAAUACGUAGGUGGCAAGCGUUGUCCGGAAUUAUUGGGCGUAAAGCGCGCGCAGGCGGUUUCUUAAGUCUGAUGUGAAAGCCCCCGGCUCACCCGGGGAGGGUCAUUGGAAACUGGGGAACUUGA
This 602-nucleotide ribosomal RNA is filed under the name Bacillus licheniformis. Its description in RNAcentral is "bacterial SSU rRNA". It matches the Rfam family "Bacterial small subunit ribosomal RNA", at positions 62 to 645 of the family's 1533-position model. Lineage: Bacteria; Bacillati; Bacillota; Bacilli; Caryophanales; Bacillaceae. The record is from RNAcentral.